AAGUCGUAACAAGGUUUCCGUAGGUGAACCUGCGGAAGGAUCAUUAUCAAAUGUCCUCCCUUCACGUCUUGUGCACCGUUAUUAAGCCUUGGUGGGCCCUGCCUGCCGCUCCGGCGGCGCAGACCCACCGCCCGACCACGUACCUCUAGACACGCGCUGAAUCUUUAUACACAAUAUAAAGACAACUUUUAGCAACGGAUCUCUUGGCUCUC
Molecule: unclassified non-coding RNA, 212 nt
Filed under: fungal sp.
Lineage: Eukaryota; Fungi
Description: partial internal transcribed spacer region
Rfam family: Eukaryotic small subunit ribosomal RNA (bases 1-46)
Source: RNAcentral